This 513-nucleotide ribosomal RNA is filed under the name uncultured bacterium. RNAcentral's name for it is "bacterial SSU rRNA". It matches the Rfam family "Bacterial small subunit ribosomal RNA", at positions 8 to 518 of the family's 1533-position model. The record is from RNAcentral.
AGAGUUUGAUUAUGGCUCAGGAUUAACGCUGGCGGCGUGCCUAACACAUGCAAGUCGAGCGAGAAGUGGUGAAAUGAAACUUCGGUAGAUUGGAUCCAUGGACAGCGGCGGACGGGUGAGUAACGCGUGGGCAACCUGCCCCUUUCCGGAGGAUAGCCAAGGGAAACUUUGAAUAAUACUCCAUAAAGCAUAUCUGCCGCAUGACAGAGAUGCCAAAGAUUUAUCGGGGAGGGAUGGGCCCGCGUCUGAUUAGCCAGUUGGUGAGGCAGCGGCUCACCAAAGCGACGAUCGGUAGCCGGCCUGAGAGGGUGAACGGCCACAUUGGAACUGAGGCACGGUCCAGACUCCUACGGGAGGCAGCAGUGGGGAAUAUUGCACAAUGGGGCGGAAGCCUGAUGCAGCAACGCCGCGUGAAGGAAGAAGGUUUUCGGAUCGUAAACUUCUGUCCCUGGGGAAGAAGAAAGUGACGGUACCCAGGGAGGAAGCCCCGGCUAACUACGUGCCAGCCGCGGC